Molecule: ribosomal RNA, 625 nt
Filed under: Deuterosminthurus bicinctus
Lineage: Eukaryota; Metazoa; Arthropoda; Collembola; Symphypleona; Bourletiellidae
Description: SSU rRNA
Rfam family: Eukaryotic small subunit ribosomal RNA
Source: RNAcentral
CAAAGCUGAAACUUAAAGGAAUUGACGGAAGGGCACCACCAGGAGUGGAGCCUGCGGCUUAAUUUGACUCAACACGGGAAAUCUCACCAGGCCCGGACACCGGAAGGAUUGACAGAUUGAGAGCUCUUUCUUGAUUCGGUGGGUGGUGGUGCAUGGCCGUUCUUAGUUGGUGGAGCGAUUUGUCUGGUUAAUUCCGAUAACGAACGAGACUCUGGCCUACUAAAUAGACAGAAAAUCCCUUUGUGGGUGUUUUGAUGCUUCUUAGAGGGACGGGCGGCUUUUAGCCGCACGAGAAUGAGCAAUAACAGGUCUGUGAUGCCCUUAGAUGUUCUGGGCUGCACGCGCGCUACACUGAAGGAAUCAGCGUGUGUUCCCUACCCGAAAGGGUUGGGAAACCCGUUGAACCUCCUUCGUGAUGGGGAUUGGGGAUUGCAAUUAUUCCCCAUGAACGAGGAAUUCCCAGUAGGCGCGAGUCAUAAGCUUGCGUCGAUUACGUCCCUGCCCUUUGUACACACCGCCCGUCGCUACUACCGAUCGAGUGAUUUAGUGAGGCCUUCGGACUGGUCUUCGUGGUGGCUCUCGAGUCAUGACGGAGUUCCGGAAAGAUGGCCAAACUUGAUCACUA